Molecule: unclassified non-coding RNA, 150 nt
Filed under: uncultured fungus
Lineage: Eukaryota; Fungi
Description: sequence contains ITS1, 5.8S rRNA gene
Source: RNAcentral
UCGUCGGGCUUCCCAGCCCUGUCGAGAUAGCACCCUUUGUCCUUUUGGCGCACUUGUCUUGUUUCCUCGGGCUGGCACCCCCAGCCCACGAGGACCAACAAUCAAACCUUUUGCAGUUUCUGUCACAGUCUGAUCUAAACAAAAUCGUAA